This 501-nucleotide ribosomal RNA is filed under the name uncultured bacterium. RNAcentral describes it as "partial 16S ribosomal RNA". It matches the Rfam family "Bacterial small subunit ribosomal RNA", at positions 30 to 523 of the family's 1533-position model. The record is from RNAcentral.
AUUGAACGCUGGCGGCAUGCCUUACACAUGCAAGUCGAACGGCAGCACGGGUGCUUGCACCUGGUGGCGAGUGGCGAACGGGUGAGUAAUAUAUCGGAACGUACCUUAUUGUGGGGGAUAACGCAGCGAAAGCUGUGCUAAUACCGCAUAAUCCCUAAGGGGGAAAGCGGGGGACCGUAAGGCCUCGCGCAAUUAGAGCGGCCGAUACCUGAUUAGCUAGUUGAUGAGGUAAAGGCUCACCAAGGCAACGAUCAGUAGCUGGGCUGAGAGGACGAUCAGCCACACUGGAACUGAGACACGGCCCAGACUGCUACGGGAGGCAGCAGUGGGGAAUUUUGGACAAUGGGGGCAACCCUGAUCCAGCAAUGCCGCGUGAGUGAAGAAGGCCUUCGGGUUGUAAAGCUCUUUUGUCAGGGAAGAAACAGCAGCUCUAACACAGUAUGCGAAUGACGGUACCUGAAGAAUAAGCACCGGCUAACUACGUGCCAGCCGCCGCCGUAA